ACGGAAGGCAGCAGUGGGGAAUAUUGCACAAUGGGGGAAACCCUGAUGCAGCGAUGCCGCGUGGAGGAAGAAGGUUUUCGGAUUGUAAACUCCUGUCUUAAAGGACGAUAAUGACGGUACUUUAGGAGGAAGCUCCGGCUAACUACGUGCCAGCAGCCGCGGUAAUACGUAGGGAGCGAGCGUUGUCCGGAAUUACUGGGUGUAAAGGGUGCGUAGGCGGGACUGCAAGUCAGAUGUGAAAUGCCGGGGCUUAACCCCGGAGCUGCAUUUGAAACUGUGGUUCUUGAGUGAAGUAGAGGCAAGCGGAAUUCCCAGUGUAGCGGUGAAAUGCGUAGAUAUUGGGAGGAACACCAGUGGCGAAGGCGGCUUGCUGGGCUUUAACUGACGCUGAGGCACGAAAGUAUGGGGAGCAAACAGGAUUAGAUACCCUGGUA
This 434-nucleotide ribosomal RNA is filed under the name uncultured Ruminococcus sp. RNAcentral's name for it is "bacterial SSU rRNA". It matches the Rfam family "Bacterial small subunit ribosomal RNA", at positions 341 to 792 of the family's 1533-position model. The record is from RNAcentral. Lineage: Bacteria; Bacillati; Bacillota; Clostridia; Eubacteriales; Oscillospiraceae.